Molecule: transfer RNA, 71 nt
Filed under: Gongylonema pulchrum
Lineage: Eukaryota; Metazoa; Nematoda; Chromadorea; Rhabditida; Gongylonematidae
Rfam family: tRNA
About the family: Transfer RNA (tRNA) molecules are approximately 80 nucleotides in length.
Source: Rfam by way of RNAcentral
GGACCGGUGGUGUAGUGGUAACACAUUGCGCCCGGAAGUGAAGAGAGGUGGUUCGAUUCCCUCCCGGUCCA